Long non-coding RNA from Cryptotermes secundus, 733 nucleotides. RefSeq lists it as uncharacterized. The transcript is spliced from 3 exons. The record is from RefSeq and is a predicted model, not a curated record. NCBI's taxonomy places the organism in Eukaryota, Metazoa, Arthropoda, Insecta, Blattodea, Kalotermitidae.
GUCACGUUUAGAGUGAACUUCUUUUAACCAUAAGGAGUAUCAAUUUUGUAUGAUAUACGUCAUUAUCCACGUUUAUAAGGACAAAAGCGUACGCAAAUCCCAGAGUACAAAACCGUACAGUGAUACCGCUAGCAAAUCCCUCAUACACAACGGCGGAAAUAUUUGAAAAGAGUCGUGUCCUGCAACAAAAAUGGUGUCCUAUCCAAGAAUUCAUAAGUGGGGGAACUGUGGAUGGAGCCAGUCUUAACCUGUGGACUAGAUGGAGGCCAGAUUCAUGCUGCAGCUAUAACUUAUGCCCAGGGAAAGAACGUCCUAUACCCACUGAAUGGGCCCCCAGAGCCAGUGUGGACAUGUACCACCACAGAUAAAAUGUGACUAAGUAACUUAGAGCAGCUACACGUCAGUUGUGAGACAACAGCUAUUAUUUGAAGGAUACUAUAGUUUGGCAUAUGAUGCCAUGCAGUCUAGCAUUUCACCUACAUCUUGGAGAAACAUAAUGCCUCCAUCUUCAUUGAUGAAAAAUAAGCCAUGUAAACAAUAAACAAGAUGAAAGCAGCUUACUAAGUUUGUAAAAUGUGGUUUAUUCCAUUGUAUAGAAGCAAUGGGUCUCACUUUCUCAAAGAUCACUUGUUCCCUAUGUAAGAAGUCAGUAUUACAAUGUUAAGUAUCACUAUUAUUAGAAACCCUAUAUUCUUCAUAUGCUAAAACCAUAGUUCCAGUUUUGAAUUGUAAA